ACUAGAACCACAUGCAAGAGCUGCCAAUGGGGUAACCUACAAGACCCAUUCUGCCACCCAAACCCACUGAACCCAUCAUCCUCCAUGUGGCCAAACAUUCCCCACAACACCAGCAUCCCCUAGAGGCACCACCUGCAUCAAUUGGAAGAAGAGUUCUUCAAUCAGCCAUUUCUACAAGGAGCCAUGGUUCCUGGUGUUAGAAAUGAAAAUUCAGCUCUGGGAAUGCUCACUAGUCUGGUGCUCUCAACUAAUACAGCAAGAUGAUACCAGUGUACUCUUCUACAUAUCCAAGCAAGUUCACCAACAGAAGUCAGCCACAAAGUCAACCCUACAGGUUUUGUUGGCUCUCAGACACCCAGAACAAAAUCCUCUUAGAGAGAUAAUGCACACAUGGCUCACUGAGAUACAGAAGGCUACUGCUAAAAACUUACCACCCAGACAGCUCUCCAGGAUUGAUGCUCUUUAAGGGCUGGUAGUCAAAGACAGGUAAGAGCUUGUUUGGCAAGCCAGCCUAAGGCAGGCACAAUCCAUUAUGCUGAGCUCUCCUGAGGUGCAGUCAACAAGGUUAGGGUAAUGCACCCUCGCUCCCACUGAGCAUGUCCCAUUAAAUAAUAAAAAGAGGUGGAUAUAUGGGAUGACUCAUCCCUAACAGGCUUGAGGGCCAGCUGAUCCAAACCAGUAAUAAGAUACUUUCUGAGAGCCAACCUGGGUCUACCUAUGAGCCUUAGCAACAGCAGCUAAGACAUGAUCUGGAGAUGACCUGGACCAAUGAAAGGCAGCCAUGUCACACCAGCAGAUGCAUAUUUAUCAGACCUUCCCCCAGGGUGGGGUGGAGGUUAUAUAAUGCUUGCCUCUUCCAGAAUAAACUGAGCUUGUUGUUUCAACAUUC
This is a long non-coding RNA of Peromyscus eremicus (cactus mouse), 889 nucleotides long. RefSeq lists it as uncharacterized. The transcript has 3 exons. The record is from RefSeq and is a predicted model, not a curated record. Lineage: Eukaryota; Metazoa; Chordata; Mammalia; Rodentia; Cricetidae.